GCCCAAAUGGCGAAAUUGGUAGACGCACUGCUUUCAGGUGGCAGCGCCGAAAGGUGUGCAGGUUCAAAUCCUGUUUUGGGCACCA
Molecule: transfer RNA, 85 nt
Filed under: Flavobacteriaceae bacterium
Lineage: Bacteria; Pseudomonadati; Bacteroidota; Flavobacteriia; Flavobacteriales; Flavobacteriaceae
Also listed under: 1 other name
Description: tRNA-Leu
Rfam family: tRNA
About the family: Transfer RNA (tRNA) molecules are approximately 80 nucleotides in length. Their secondary structure includes four short double-helical elements and three loops (D, anti-codon, and T loops). Further hydrogen bonds mediate the characteristic L-shaped molecular structure. tRNAs have two regions of fundamental functional importance: the anti-codon, which is responsible for specific mRNA codon recognition, and the 3' end, to which the tRNAs corresponding amino acid is attached (by aminoacyl-tRNA synthetases). tRNAs cope with the degeneracy of the genetic code in two manners: having more than one tRNA (with a specific anti-codon) for a particular amino acid; and 'wobble' base-pairing, i.e. permitting non-standard base-pairing at the 3rd anti-codon position.
Source: RNAcentral